GCCGAUGUAGCUCAGUUGGCCAGAGCUACUGAUUUGUAAUCAGUGGGUCGGGGGUUCGAAUCCCUCCAUCGGCU
RNAcentral lists this transfer RNA (74 nucleotides) under Arcticibacter sp. Its description in RNAcentral is "tRNA-Thr". It matches the Rfam family "tRNA". From Rfam's summary of the family: Transfer RNA (tRNA) molecules are approximately 80 nucleotides in length. The record is from RNAcentral. Lineage: Bacteria; Pseudomonadati; Bacteroidota; Sphingobacteriia; Sphingobacteriales; Sphingobacteriaceae. RNAcentral also lists the same sequence under 4 other names.